UACCAGCUCUCCGAGUAGUGUGGAUGUUUAUUGGGCCUAAAGCAUCCGUAGCUUGCUAAGCAAGUCCCCUGUUAAAUCCACCGAUUCAAUCGGUGGAUUGCGGGGGAUACUGUUUGGCUAGGGGACGGGAGAGGCCGACGGUAUUUCCGGGGUAGGGGUGAAAUCCUAUAAUCCCGGGAAGACCACCAGUGGCGAAGGCUGUCUGCUAGAACGUGCCCGACGGUGAGGGAUGAAAGCUGGGGGAGCGAACCGGAUUAGAUACCCGGGUAGUCCCAGCUGUAAACGAUGCAGGCUAGGUGUUUGGACGGCCACGUGCCGUUCUAGUGCCGCAGGGAAGCCGUUAAGCCUGCCGCCUGGGGAGUACGGCCGCAAGGCUGAAACUUAAGGAAUUGGCGGGGAGCACCACAAGGGUGAAGCUUGCGGUUU
RNAcentral lists this ribosomal RNA (426 nucleotides) under uncultured archaeon. RNAcentral describes it as "bacterial SSU rRNA". It matches the Rfam family "Archaeal small subunit ribosomal RNA", at positions 474 to 903 of the family's 1478-position model. The record is from RNAcentral.